Molecule: ribosomal RNA, 528 nt
Filed under: uncultured bacterium
Lineage: Bacteria
Description: bacterial SSU rRNA
Rfam family: Bacterial small subunit ribosomal RNA
Source: RNAcentral
AUAGAUACCCUGGUAGUCCACGCCGUAAACGAUGAGUGCUAAGUGUUAGAGGGUUUCCGCCCUUUAGUGCUGCAGCUAACGCAUUAAGCACUCCGCCUGGGGAGUACGGCCGCAAGGCUGAAACUCAAAGGAAUUGACGGGGGCCCGCACAAGCGAUGGAGCAUGUGGUUUAAUUCGAAGCAACGCGAAGAACCUUACCAGGUCUUGACAUCCUCUGCCAACCCUAGAGAUAGGGUGUUCCCCUUCGGGGGACAGAGUGACAGGUGGUGCAUGGUUGUCGUCAGCUCGUGUCGUGAGAUGUUGGGUUAAGUCCCGCAACGAGCGCAACCCUUGAUCUUAGUUGCCAGCAUUUAGUUGGGCACUCUAAGGUGACUGCCGGUGACAAACCGGAGGAAGGUGGGGAUGACGUCAAAUCAUCAUGCCCCUUAUGACCUGGGCUACACACGUGCUACAAUGGAUGGUACAAAGAGCUGCGAACCCGCGAGGGUAAGCCAAUCUCAUAAAGCCAUUCUCAGUUCGGAUUGUAGG